UGCAGUUCGUGAUAUGACGCGAUAAACUGGCCAUCUGUCACCGAACCGAGCCACAAUUAUAGUUCACAAUACACGGUAGUUAAAGCGGAUAUACGAACACAUAAAGAUGAAACUGGUGAUGUGCGUGAUGAUGAUCAUUCUCCUGACAACGGUCAUGGCGCCGAUGUCUGACGGAAUGACCCGAUGGAGGCGAUUCAUGAGGGUGUUUCCUGACCCUCUUCAAAAACAGCGAGAACAGGUCAGGGAAGAGCAGUGGAUAGAUUUACAGAAGACGACAGGACUCUGAACUUCCGGCGGUGAACAGAAAAUAGGCCUUCUCAGAUGUCUGCUCCGGCGGUAAAAAGAAAAUAUUCGGAUAUCUGCUCGCUUGUUUUGCUGACCUUUCUUUAAUCUAGUUAUUUAUGUCUGUUUAAUAUACCCGCAGACAUAUAGAGAAACAAACAUACACAUAUCCAUCGAUCCAUACACACACACACACACACACACACACACGUAUGUAUACACUAAACAUGCACACACGCACACAUAUUUAAAAUUGUGAAUGAUUUCAACAAUCUGAUGCAGCACUCAUAAUCAUCCUACUGUAAACACCUACAACACUUUCCCAAGUGAUCACGUGUGGUGGGAUUUGUUACAUGAAAAUUACGAAUUUGCAUUAAUAAAAUUAAUAGUGUCAAAAAUC
Molecule: long non-coding RNA, 682 nt
Organism: Gigantopelta aegis
Lineage: Eukaryota; Metazoa; Mollusca; Gastropoda; Neomphalida; Peltospiridae
Exons: 3
Source: RefSeq, a predicted model, not a curated record